RNAcentral lists this long non-coding RNA (595 nucleotides) under Citrus maxima (pomelo). Its description in RNAcentral is "long non-coding RNA (CMAX_LNC004152)". Lineage: Eukaryota; Viridiplantae; Streptophyta; Magnoliopsida; Sapindales; Rutaceae. The record is from RNAcentral.
CAUUACUUUCUUUUCAAUAAUCACCUCUCAGUUUUUCAUCAAUCACUCAAUUCCGAAUUUCAUCUCCAUUCUCUUUCGAAGAAGAACGCACGAAGAAUUUUAGCUUGCUUUCGCUGCUUCUCGAAUAUUGGGUAUUGUUUCCUUUAAUUUAGAUAAUUUUUUUUAUAUCUCUCUUUCAAGUUUGAUAAUUUAGGGUUAUACUUGAAUUAAUUGUAUUUUUAAUCAACCAAGGUUGAUUUAAUUGAUUCCAAGUCUCAAUUUCCUGUUCAACAAACAGAGAACGCACAAAUAAUUUUCAUUUUCAUACUCAAUUUUGAAAGAAUCAAUUUAUUUUAUCUUUGGUUAGUACACUUCUGUUCAAUUUUUGUUUAUUUAACUUAAGAUAUCUUUUUCUUUCUUUUCUUCAAGCAGAUUAUAGAUUAUAUUGAGAACAGAGCUUUCUCCUUAAUUCCGCCAAGAGCAACAUUGAUUUCAGGUGAUAAUUGAAUGUGUAAUAUUUUCAAUUGAAAUUAAUUGAGUCUCGUAAUAAUAAUAGGGAUUUGAGAUUUACAUCCUGUUGAAAUGAUUUUAGAGUGUUCUGCUAUUUGAAUGCGCA